GCUUGUCUCAAAGAUUAAGCCAUGCAUGUCUAAGUAUAAGCCUUUAUAUGGUGAGACUGCGAAUGGCUCAUUAAAUCAGAAACUGUUUAUUUGAUAGUGCCUACUACAUGGAUACCUGUAGUAAUUCUAGAGCUAAUACAUGCAAAAAGCCUGGACUUCUGGAACAGGCGUAUUUAUUAGAUAUACAAACCAACCGCUUCGGCGACCCUUGGUGACUCAUAAUAACUUCGCGAAUCGUUUUCGGACGAUGAUUCAUUCAAAUUUCUGCCCUAUCAACUUUCGACGGUAGGAUAGAGGCCUACUGUGGUGAUAACGGGUAACGAAGAAUAAGGGUUCGAUUUCGGAGAGGGAGCCUGAGAAACGGCUACCACAUCCAAGGAAGGCAGCAGG
This 390-nucleotide ribosomal RNA is filed under the name uncultured Telonemia. Its description in RNAcentral is "partial small subunit ribosomal RNA". It matches the Rfam family "Eukaryotic small subunit ribosomal RNA", at positions 30 to 432 of the family's 1831-position model. The record is from RNAcentral. Lineage: Eukaryota; Telonemia.